RNAcentral lists this ribosomal RNA (457 nucleotides) under Pilidium concavum. Its description in RNAcentral is "eukaryotic LSU rRNA". It matches the Rfam family "Eukaryotic large subunit ribosomal RNA", at positions 74 to 540 of the family's 3401-position model. The record is from RNAcentral. Lineage: Eukaryota; Fungi; Ascomycota; Leotiomycetes; Chaetomellales; Chaetomellaceae.
AUUGCCUCAGUAACGGCGAGUGAAGCGGCAACAGCUCAAAUUUGAAACCUGCCAACCGGCCGGAUUGUAAUUUGUAGAGGAUGCUUUGGAGUCAGCACUGAUCUAAGUUUCUUGGAACAGUACGUCACAGAGGGUGAGAAUCCCGUUCGUGGUCGGCUGCUGGCUUCGUGUAAAGCUCCUUCGACGAGUCGAGUUGUUUGGGAAUGCAGCUCAAAAUGGGUGGUAAAUUUCAUCUAAAGCUAAAUAUUGGCCAGAGACCGAUAGCGCACAAGUAGAGUGAUCGAAAGAUGAAAAGCACUUUGGAAAGAGAGUUAAACAGCACGUGAAAUUGUUGAAAGGGAAGCGCUUGCAAUCAGACUUGCGCGUAGGUAAUCAAGGGCGGUUCGCUGCCCUGCACUUGCCUGCGCUCAGGCCAGCAUCAGUUUUGGGGGUGGGAUAAAGGCCGUGGGAAUGUGGC